Molecule: long non-coding RNA, 1863 nt
Organism: Gallus gallus (chicken)
Lineage: Eukaryota; Metazoa; Chordata; Aves; Galliformes; Phasianidae
Source: Ensembl
UAGACAUCUAAUCACCUCCCUGCCAAAUGUUUUUUCGAGCUGCUCUCCAGCCCUUAUCUCUAUGGCCUUCAUCCUCCUUGCUAUUCCAGACCCAGUGUCUGUGAAAGUGCUUGGAACCCCUUGUUUUCUAACACUCUCUACCUAAACUAUCUCUAUUUGCCCCUUGUUUCUACUUUGUGAAGCUGCUUUCCCCUUUCUUGCUGUGAGGCCCUUCUCUCUCGAACUGCAGGGUCCUGCUCUCUCUCUUCAAGAGCAGUCAGAAGAAAGACAAGUGAGAAUACAGGGAACAAAAAAAAAGCAGAGAGGAGAGCAGAGGCAGCAGAAAGAGGAGUGAGGAUACAGAGAAGAAAGAACAGGGGAAGAGGAGUGCAGAUGCAGAAUAAAGACAAGUCUGGCAACAGGAAACAAAAUCCAACAGAAGAGCAGUGCUGAUGCAGAGGGAAAAGGAGUGAGGAUGAUGCAGGGGAAUAAGAACAGGAGAAGAGUGAGAAUGCAGAGGAAAGAGCAGGGAGGAUAGAAAAGAAGGGAGAGCCUAAGAGGUGGGCAGAUGGAAAAAGAGUGAGGGAAGAAAGAAGAGCAGAAGAGUAGAGCCAAUGCAGAAGAAAGAGGAGUGAGGAAGCAGGGAAACAUACAGCAGAAGAGAAAAGCAGAUGCAGGUGAAAGAGCAGUGGUGAGAUGCAAUGGAAACCAUCAGAAGAGUGAGGAUACAAGGAGGAAAGAACAGCAGAAGAGGAGCACAGCUGCCCGAGAAUGAGCAGUGAGAAUACAGGGAAGAAAGAGGAGGAGGAGAGCAGAUGCAGAAGAAAAGAGACGUCACGUUACAGGGAAGAAAAGCAGGGCAGACGAAGUACGGAGAGGAAGCAGGGGAAAAAAACACUGAAGAGCACGGAUAGAGAUGAAAGAGCAGUGAGGAUACACAGAGGAUAGAACAGCAGAAGAGAAGAGAAAAAACAGGAAAAGAGUGAGAAUGCAGACGGAAAAGCAGGGAGAAUACAGGGAAGAACCAAGAGCCUAAGAGAAGUGCAAAUGCAAAAGCAAGCGAGGCUACAGGGAAGAAAGGACAGCAGAAGGGGAGUGCAGGUGCAGAUCCCCCAAACACAGCACUCCCUGCCCGCUAGGGUUGCGGGUGCGACGCAGUCACCACAAUGACGUCGAGGAUCAAUGCCGGGUAAUUCAGUGAGCGUUCCAACAAAGAAUCAAGGAAAAAACUGCCAGGCAAAACUAAGAAACCUUCUGGCAACAGGUCUUUAACGUUACGCGUAGAGUCCUUUGGAACAGGAGUUGUUUCUGUGUCAAGAACUUGAAGAUCAAUUCAGGCAACGGCUACUAAAGAAAAACGAGUCACAUAACAUGGAGAGCAAAGAAGAGAAGAGAGAGGAAACAGAGAGGUGCCAACACUGCCACCCGGGGUGGGCAGCAGGCUGCUGGUGCCAGCGUCAUCAUGGGCGGCGGCCAGCACUGGCCACGCUGUCACCGCGUCGCCGUGGCGACGUUUGUGACACGGCCACCCGGGAGGGGUAUGAAGGCGGUGCACGCUGGUGGGUCCUGCAUCCUGAAGGAGCAUCUGGUAGAGAGCAGACGCACCUGAAGGGAUGAGCUCCGGCAUGGCUGGCGCCAACAAGGAGCAACCCGCUGGCACGAGGCGGAACAGGAUGAGCUUCUGCGAGGAUGGCCCCGCAGCGAGGCGUGCCUCCAUACCCACCUGCACCGACACCGAAGGUACACGGCUCCACAGCCACCACAGGAGCGCUGCUGCAGCCAAUCCUGGCACGCAGACGACACUUUCCAUCUGCCACCUCACUCCCGCCUGGCAGCGGGAGGGCUGCCGGGAAGCGGCAGGUGCAGAGUGUGACCCGCUUUUCC